Molecule: long non-coding RNA, 823 nt
Organism: Erinaceus europaeus (western European hedgehog)
Lineage: Eukaryota; Metazoa; Chordata; Mammalia; Eulipotyphla; Erinaceidae
Exons: 3
Source: RefSeq, a predicted model, not a curated record
UAUUUAUUCCCUUUAUGUUGCCCUUGUUGUUUUACUGUUGUAGUUAUUACUGAUGUCGUUGUUGUUGGACAGGACAGAGAGAAAUGGAGAGAGGAGGGGAAGACAGAGAGGGGGAGAGAAAGACAGACACCUGCAGACCUGCUUCACCGCCUGGGAAGCGACUCCCCUGCAGAUGGGGAGCCGGGGGGGGGGCUCGAACCGGGAUCCUUAUGCCGGUCCUUGCACUUUGCGCCACCUGCGCUUAACCUGCUGCGCUACCGCCUGACUCCCGAGAAUUUUUUUUCUUUGGGGGGGGCAGAUAGCACUGGGGGCCUGGCCUCUCUGUUAUUUAUUAAACAGUCCCCUUCUUUCCAGGUCUGCGUGAGCUACUUAAUUUGGGGUUCGCCUCCCCCCAGGCUGACCAAAGACACGGGGGUCCCCCAAAAUCGAGGGAGGGGCUGGGAGAUUAUGAGCCUCCUUUAAUUUUUCCCCAGCUCCCACCGGUCAUUUUGGGGGCCGGGGGCCACAGCAGAAGCAACCGGCAGAACGUGAGCCCCAGUGGUCAUUCCGGAAUCCCGUCUGCAGCUGGGGAACAGCCCCCCAUCGUGAGAUCGGGCAGUGAUCACCCCCAGUGUUUGGGGGUUCAGCGUGAGUCCUCCGCUGGAGGCUUCCGAAGGUGGCUGCAAGGAAAACGGGGAAGAGUGAAAAAAGGAGGCAGCCCUCACCUCUGGGACAUGAUCUUGAAGGCAUCGGGCAGGUAGCACUGCACGUUCUCCAUCUGGAAGGGGUCAGCGUCGCAGAUCUUGUCGUCUGUGCGCCCGUAGUUGGCGUUCUCCACCAUGAC